CAAAAACUUACUUGAGAUUGAUAAUAGACCUAAAAACAUAAAAGCUUAAACAUUUUAUGAGAAAACAAUACCACCAUAACAAUCUGGAGGUAGGCAGAUUUAUUUAGAAAAAGUCCAUUUAAAAAUUGAUAAAUUAAGACUCCAGUGGAAACUUCUGCUCAAAACACUAUAAAAAAAAUCAAGAGUCAAGACACACAAUGGGGAAAAUAUUUGCAAAAUAACUGACAAGGAAUUUUAUUCAAAAUACAUAGAGUUCCUAUAACUUGGUAAUAAAAACGAACCUAAUUUAAAAAUACACACUCAAAGACAUAUUAAUGGCCAAUAAACACGAGAACGUGUUCAUUAGUCAGAGAAAUGCAGACUGAAACCACAAGAUACCACUACAUGCCCAGAAGUCACAAUAUUUGUGUGCAAAUGUUCAUAGCAGCUUUACUCACACUUGCCAAAAACUAGAAACCAAUAAAAUGUUCACUAACAGGAAAACAGAUUAACAAAUUAUAGUAUAUUCAUACAAUCGAGUCCUACUCAGCAAUAAGGACUGUUGAACCUCAACAAUGUUUACGCUGAAAGAAUUACAAAGCUCCAGGGAAGGAAAUAAAAAUGAACCCUAGUCUAUGAUGAAAACAUUUGAGCUUGGUGGUGGUGGGAGAUUGCUUAAUUGCCUGGGUAGAGUAAGCUCCUUUUGUCCUGGUAAGGUGUGGGCAAAGGAGAACCACUUACCAAAAUUAUAACUUAGAUGUGUGUGUGUAUAUAUAUAUAUAUAUAUCUUUUUUUUUUUUUUUUUUGAGAUGAAGUCUCACUCUGUCGCCUAAGCUGGAGUGCAGUGGCAAUCUCGACUCACCGCAACCUCAGCCUCCCGGGUUCAAGUGAUUCUUCUGCCUCAGCCUUCUGAGUAGCUGGGACUACAGGCAUGCGCCACCACUCCCAACUAAUUUUUGUAUUUUUAGCAGAGACAGGGUUUCACCAUGUUGGCCAGGCUGGUCUUGAACUCCUGACCUCAGGUAAUCCACCCACCUUGGCCUCCCAAAGUGCUGGGAUCACAGGCGUGAGCCACUGUGCCCAGCUGGAUUUACAUAUUUCAAUUUAAAUAAAUUUUAUCUAAAAAGGGCAUGUAGUUAGUAGACAGAUAUGCCUAACUAGAAUGGUGUUGUUGAAACUGUAUAUAAAGGUUUAGUGUACCAUUUUGUUUACUUUGUAAGUUUGAAAAUUCUCCAUGUUAAAACUGGGCGCAGUGACUCAUGCCUGUAAUCCCUACACUGUGGGAGGCCGAGGUGGGCGGAUCAUCUGAGGUCAGGAGUUCCAGACUAGCCUGGCCAACAUGAUGAAACCCCAUCUUUACUAAAAUUACAAAAAAUCAUCCAGGCGUGGUGGUGCGUGCCUGUUAUCCCAGCUACUUAGGAGGUUGACGCAGGAGAAUCACUUGAACCCAGGAGGUAGAGGUUACAGUGAGCCAAGAUGGCGCCUCUGCACUCCAGCCUGGUGACACAGCGAGACUCCGUCUCAAACAUACACACACACACAAAACCCUCCAUAUUAAGAUGUUUACAAAUCUAAAAUCUAUUGUCUGGGCCCCUAGGCCAGAUAUCCAACAAUUUAUCAGACAUCCCUUGACAAGUCUGUUUCAUGGUUUUCUUACCAUCUUGAAGUCACAUACCUCUAGCUUUGUGUUUCAAAUGUCACCAUAGGGUUCUAUUGAGAAUCCAGGAAAACUGUGGCUAUUGCACAAGUCAAGAUUUUUGUUUUUGAGACAGGGUUUCACUUUUGCUCGGGCUAGAGUACAGUGGUACAAUCACAGCUCAUUACAGCCUCAAUUUCCUUUUAUUUAUUGUAGAGACAGGGUCUCACUAUGUUGCUCAGACUGGCCUCAAACUCCUAGGCUCAAGCAAUCCUCCCACCUCAGACUCCCAAACUUUUGAGAUUACAGGUGUGAGCCAUGGCGCCCAGCCCAAAGUUCAGUUUUGGAGUAAGAAUUUGGACACUUGACCAGGUGCAGUGGCUCAUGCCUGUAAUUCCAACAUGCUGGGAGGCAAAGGUGGGCGUAUUGCUUGAGGACAGAAGUUCAAGACCAGCCUGGCCAACAUGGUGAAACUUUGUCUCUACUAAAAAUACAAAAAUUAGCCGGGUGUGGUGGCACAUCCCUGUAGUCCCAGUUACUUGGGUGACUGAGGCAUGAGAAUCACUUGAACCUGGGAGGUGGAGGUUGCAGUGAGCCGAGAUCACGCCAUUGCACUCCAGCCUGGGUGACAGAACAAAAACGUCUUAAAAAGAAAAAAAAUUUUUUUUUUUCUGAAUGUCACUAGACAAUUAAACUUUUAUUGAAGCGUAAAUUGUGGUACAGAAAUACAUUUCAACUGAUUUAAGUCCAACACCAGUGAAAGGAGAA
RNAcentral lists this long non-coding RNA (2383 nucleotides) under Homo sapiens (human). Its description in RNAcentral is "HSALNT0111483". The record is from RNAcentral. Lineage: Eukaryota; Metazoa; Chordata; Mammalia; Primates; Hominidae.